RNAcentral lists this ribosomal RNA (451 nucleotides) under uncultured bacterium. RNAcentral's name for it is "bacterial SSU rRNA". It matches the Rfam family "Bacterial small subunit ribosomal RNA", at positions 354 to 796 of the family's 1533-position model. The record is from RNAcentral.
GUGGGGAAUAUUGCGCAAUGGGGGAAACCCUGACGCAGCAACGCCGCGUGAGUGAUGAAGGCCUUCGGGUUGUAAAGCUCUUUCGGUUGGGAAGAAGGGUGUGCGAGCUAAUAAUUCGUACAUUUGAUGGUACCAAAAGAAGAAGCACCGGCUAACUUCGUGCCAGCAGCCGCGGUAAUACGAAGGGUGCGAGCGUUGUUCGGAAUUACUGGGCGUAAAGGGUUCGUAGGCGGGAACGUCAGUCGAAUGUGAAAACCCUGGGCUUAACCUGGGACGUGCAUUCGAUACUGCGUUUCUUGAGUUCUGGAGAGGGUGGUGGAAUUGCUGGUGUAGGAGUGACAUCCGUAGAGAUCAGCAGGAACGCCGGAGGCGAAAGCGACCGCCUGGCCAGACACUGACGCUGAGGAACGAAAGCGUGGGGAGCAAACAGGAUUAGAUACCCCUGUAGUCC